AAUGAACGCUGGCGGCAGGCCUAAUACAUGCAAGUCGAACGGACGGACAAGAAGAUUUCGUCUCUACGGUUAGCGGCUGGCGGAUGGGUGAGACAUAGAUAACAUACCUCUAAUACGUGGGGAACUUCGUGGAACCAGAUCUAAUACCACAUAACAUUUUGAACGGCAUGGUUCAAAAGAUCAACACACUUUUGCUGUCACUUAUAGAUGGAUCCGUGUUGCAUUAGCUAGUUGGUAAGGUAACGGCCUACCAAGGCAACGAUGCGUAGCCGAUCUGAGAGGGUGAUCGGCCACACUGGAACUGAGACACGGUCCAGACUCCUACGGGAGGCAGCAGUAGGGAAUAUUGGACAAUGGGCGCAAGCCUGAUCCAGCCAUACCGCGUGAGUGAAGAAGGCCUUCGGGUUGUAAAGCCCUUUUGUUGGGGAAGAAAAGCAGCGGGUGAAUACCCCGCUGUUCUGACGGUACCCAAAGAAUAAGCACCGGCUAACUUCGUG
This 497-nucleotide ribosomal RNA is filed under the name uncultured bacterium. Its description in RNAcentral is "partial 16S ribosomal RNA". It matches the Rfam family "Bacterial small subunit ribosomal RNA", at positions 29 to 507 of the family's 1533-position model. The record is from RNAcentral.